UACGUAGGGUGCGAGCGUUAAUCGGAAUUACUGGGCGUAAAGCGUGCGCAGGCGGUUUUGUAAGUCAGAUGUGAAAUCCCCGGGCUCAACCUGGGAACUGCGUUUGAAACUACAAGGCUAGAGUGUAGCAGAGGGGGGUAGAAUUCCACGUGUAGCAGUGAAAUGCGUAGAGAUGUGGAGGAAUACCGAUGGCGAAGGCAGCCCCCUGGGAUAACACUGACGCUCAUGCACGAAAGCGUGGGGAGCAAACAGG
This 253-nucleotide ribosomal RNA is filed under the name uncultured bacterium. RNAcentral describes it as "partial 16S ribosomal RNA". It matches the Rfam family "Bacterial small subunit ribosomal RNA", at positions 524 to 776 of the family's 1533-position model. The record is from RNAcentral.